GAUGAACGCUGGCGGCGUGCUUAACACAUGCAAGUCGAGCGAAAAUAAUUGAGAGCUUGCUUUUGAUUAUUUUAGCGGCGGACGGGUGAGUAACGUGUGGGUAACCUGCCUUUUACUGGGGAAUAAUCACUGGAAACGGUGACUAAUACCGCAUACGGUUCUUGGAAGGCAUCUUCUAGGAAAGAAAGGAUUUAUUCGGUAAAAGAUGGGCCCGCAUCUGAUUAGCUAGUUGGUGAGAUAACAGCCCACCAAGGCGACGAUCAGUAGCCGACCUGAGAGGGUGACCGGCCACAUUGGGACUGAGACACGGCCCAA
RNAcentral lists this ribosomal RNA (315 nucleotides) under uncultured bacterium. Its description in RNAcentral is "bacterial SSU rRNA". It matches the Rfam family "Bacterial small subunit ribosomal RNA", at positions 28 to 334 of the family's 1533-position model. The record is from RNAcentral.